CUGGCUGCAGGAACCACAAGUUCCAGACUAGGUCGGAAUUCCGAAUAAUCACAGUCAAAAUCCACCCAGAUACUCUCACACGCCCAGCCGCGCGCGCAUCCCGGGGCCGCGGGGCACACGUGAGCCCACGCCCCGCGCGCCCGUCCCUGCCUCCUGCCGGAGCAUCCUCGGCUUGGGCGGCAGACGCAGCCGCCGCCGCCUCCUCCUCCUCUCGCCACCGCCUACACCGUCUCCUCUCCCCUCUCGUCCUCCUUCCUCCCCCAGUUCCUGCUCCUCCUCCCGUCCUCGGCGGCGAAGGGCAGAACCCUCAGCAGCGGCUGCCUGCGCUUGGGCCGCCAAGAGCCUGGAACAGCAUUACAGGGCCACGGUGAUGGCAAGCUCAGCUUCCUGUAAGGAAGGAUGGAGGUGGAUAGGAGGAGGAAACACGUAAAGGUAACAACAUAAAAAUAAAAAGUAGUAUAAGCACUAGAGCUGACGGCCAUG
RNAcentral lists this long non-coding RNA (483 nucleotides) under Canis lupus familiaris (dog). RNAcentral describes it as "lncRNA (ENSCAFG00845022155.1)". Lineage: Eukaryota; Metazoa; Chordata; Mammalia; Carnivora; Canidae. The record is from RNAcentral.